Molecule: small nucleolar RNA, 120 nt
Filed under: Echinops telfairi (small Madagascar hedgehog)
Lineage: Eukaryota; Metazoa; Chordata; Mammalia; Afrosoricida; Tenrecidae
Description: Small nucleolar RNA SNORA61 (ENSETEG00000026104.1)
Source: RNAcentral
ACUCUCCAGAUUCCUUACCCACUGGAUCUAAAUAAUAGUCUGAGUGGCUCAAAAAAGUAGGAGAGUACAACUGAAGUGGAUUGGAAGUCUUUAAUGACAUUCACGUUCAUUUAAACGUGU